UGCGUAGGUGGUUUGUCGCGUCUGCUGUGAAAACUGGAGGCUCAACCUCCAGCCUGCAGUGGGUACGGGCAGACUAGAGUGCGGUAGGGGAGAUUGGAAUUCCUGGUGUAGCGGUGGAAUGCGCAGAUAUCAGGAGGAACACCGAUGGCGAAGGCAGAUCUCUGGGCCGUAACUGACGCUGAGGAGCGAAAGCAUGGGGAGCGAACA
This 207-nucleotide ribosomal RNA is filed under the name uncultured bacterium. Its description in RNAcentral is "partial 16S ribosomal RNA". It matches the Rfam family "Bacterial small subunit ribosomal RNA", at positions 568 to 774 of the family's 1533-position model. The record is from RNAcentral.